This 97-nucleotide non-coding RNA is filed under the name Hyphomicrobiales bacterium. RNAcentral's name for it is "Rhizobiales bacterium TPP sequence". It matches the Rfam family "TPP riboswitch aptamer (THI element)". Rfam says of the family: Vitamin B(1) in its active form thiamin pyrophosphate (TPP) is an essential coenzyme that is synthesised by coupling of pyrimidine and thiazole moieties in bacteria. The previously detected thiamin-regulatory element, thi box was extended, resulting in a new, highly conserved RNA secondary structure, the THI element, which is widely distributed in eubacteria and also occurs in some archaea. Analysis of operon structures identified a large number of new candidate thiamin-regulated genes, mostly transporters, in various prokaryotic organisms. Lineage: Bacteria; Pseudomonadati; Pseudomonadota; Alphaproteobacteria; Hyphomicrobiales. The record is from RNAcentral.
GCCGAGAGACAGGGGCGCCCGCCGCGAGGCGGGCUGAGAUGCACCCUUCGAACCUGAACCAGAUCAUGCUGGCGGAGGAAGUCGCUCGGGGCACAGC